GAGGAUGAGCAACGGCUGCGCAAGGAACGGCGAAGCAUUUCUCCUUUUUCCCUCCUUUCAGAGGGAAACAAUGGCAACCCGAUGUGGAGUUUAUGAAGGAGAUGGAAGGCGCCGUCAUGUAUCCCAGCAAAAUGACAGAAAAAUGGGCCCCUCCACCAUGGAAUAACAGGGAUCCCAUAGUGGGGAGAAUGGCUAACAUCACUCUCAACUUUGGGCCCCAACAUCCUGCCGCCCACGGGGUUUUGCGCCUGGUGAUGGUGCUGAACGGGGAGAACGUGAAGAAGUGUGACCCCCAUAUCGGCCUGCUUCACCGGGGGACAGAGAAGCUCAUAGAA
Notechis scutatus (mainland tiger snake) is the source of this 335-nucleotide non-coding RNA. NCBI's taxonomy places the organism in Eukaryota, Metazoa, Chordata, Lepidosauria, Squamata, Elapidae. The record is from RefSeq and is a predicted model, not a curated record.